UACGGGGGGUGCAAGCGUUGUUCGGAUUUACUGGGCGUAAAGCGCGUGUAGGCGGUCUGUUAAGUCAGAUGUGAAAGCCCAGGGCUUAACCCUGGAAGUGCGUUUGAAACUGGCAGGCUAGAGUGCGAUAGAGGGAAGGGGAAUUCCAGGUGUAGAGGUGAAAUUCGUAGAUAUCUGGAGGAAUACCGGCGGCGAAGGCGCCUUCCUGGGUCGUAACUGACGCUGAGACGCGAAAGCGUGGGUAGCAAACAGG
This 253-nucleotide ribosomal RNA is filed under the name uncultured bacterium. RNAcentral describes it as "partial 16S ribosomal RNA". It matches the Rfam family "Bacterial small subunit ribosomal RNA", at positions 524 to 776 of the family's 1533-position model. The record is from RNAcentral.